GACGAACGCUGGAGGCGUGCUUAACACAUGCAAGUCGAACGAUGAAAUGGAGCUUGCUCCAUGGAUUAGUGGCGAACGGGUGAGUAACACGUGAAUAACCUGCACUUAAUUUUGGAAUAACCCAGGGAAACCUGGGCUAAUACCGGAUAAGUAAACCUGUGGCAUCACAUGGUUUUGGGAAGUUUUUCGAUUAAGGAUGGAUUCGCGGCCUAUUAGCUUGUUGGUGAGGUAAUGGCUCACCAAGGCGCCGACGGGUAGCCGGCCUGAGAGGGUGAACGGCCACACUGGGACUGAGACACGGCCCAGACUCCUACGGGAGGCAGCAGUGGGGAAUAUUGCGCAAUGGACGAAAGUCUGACGCAGCGACGCCUCGUGAGGGACGAAGGUCUUCGGAUUGUAAACCUCUUUCAGCAGGGACGAAGCGAAAGUGACGGUACCUGCAGAAGAAGCACCGGCUAACUAUGUGCCAGCCGCCGCCGUAA
This 482-nucleotide ribosomal RNA is filed under the name uncultured bacterium. RNAcentral describes it as "partial 16S ribosomal RNA". It matches the Rfam family "Bacterial small subunit ribosomal RNA", at positions 28 to 523 of the family's 1533-position model. The record is from RNAcentral.